RNAcentral lists this ribosomal RNA (253 nucleotides) under uncultured bacterium. Its description in RNAcentral is "partial 16S ribosomal RNA". It matches the Rfam family "Bacterial small subunit ribosomal RNA", at positions 524 to 776 of the family's 1533-position model. The record is from RNAcentral.
UACGGAGGGUGCAAGCGUUAUCCGGAUUCACUGGGUUUAAAGGGUGUGUAGGCGGACUUUUAAGUCCGUGGUGAAAUCUCCGGGCUCAACCCGGAAACUGCCAUGGAUACUAUUUGUCUUGAAUGUUGUUGAGGUGGGCGGAACGGGUCAUGUAGCGGUGAAAUGCAUAGAUAUGACCCGGAACACCGAUUGCGAAGGCAGCCCACUAAGCAAUGAUUGACGCUGAGGCACGAAAGCGUGGGGAUCAAACAGG